RNAcentral lists this ribosomal RNA (1053 nucleotides) under Enterococcus durans. Its description in RNAcentral is "bacterial SSU rRNA". It matches the Rfam family "Bacterial small subunit ribosomal RNA", at positions 74 to 1105 of the family's 1533-position model. The record is from RNAcentral. Lineage: Bacteria; Bacillati; Bacillota; Bacilli; Lactobacillales; Enterococcaceae.
CGGAGCUUGCUCCACCGGAAAAAGAAGAGUGGCGAACGGGUGAGUAACACGUGGGUAACCUGCCCAUCAGAAGGGGAUAACACUUGGAAACAGGUGCUAAUACCGUAUAACAAUCGAAACCACAUGGUUUUGAUUUGAAAGGCGCUUUCGGGUGUCGCUGAUGGAUGGACCCGCGGUGCAUUAGCUAGUUGGUGAGGUAACGGCUCACCAAGGCCACGAUGCAUAGCCGACCUGAGAGGGUGAUCGGCCACAUUGGGACUGAGACACGGCCCAAACUCCUACGGGAGGCAGCAGUAGGGAAUCUUCGGCAAUGGACGAAAGUCUGACCGAGCACGGCCGCGUGAGUGAAGAAGGUUUUCGGAUCGUAAAACUCUGUUGUUAGAGAAGAACAAGGAUGAGAGUAACUGUUCAUCCCUUGACGGUAUGUAACCAGAAAGCCACGGCUAACUACGUGCCAGCAGCCGCGGUAAUACGUAGGUGGCAAGCGUUGUCCGGAUUUAUUGGGCGUAAAGCGAGGGCAGGCGGUUUCUUAAGUCUGAUGUGAAAGCCCCCGGCUCAACCGGGGAGGGUCAUUGGAAACUGGGAGACUUGAGUGCAGAAGAGGAGAUUGGAAUUCCAUGUGUAGCGGUGAAAUGCGUAGAUAUAUGGAGGAACACCAGUGGCGAAGGCGGCUCUCUGGUCUGUAACUGACGCUGAGGCUCCAAAGCGUGGGGAGCAAACAGGAUUAGAUACCCUGGUAGUCCACGCCGUAAACGAUGAGUGCUAAGUGUUGGAGGGUUUCCGCCCUUCAGUGCUGCAGCUAACGCAUUAAGCACUCCGCCUGGGGAGUACGACCGCAAGGUUGAAACUCAAAGGAAUUGACGGGGGCCCGCACAAGCGGUGGAGCAUGUGGUUUAAUUCGAAGCAACGCGAAGAACCUUACCAGGUCUUGACAUCCUUUGACCACUCUAGAGAUAGAGCUUCCCCUUCGGGGGCAUUGUGACAGGUGGUGCAUGGUUGUCGUCAGCUCGUGUCGUGAGAUGUUGGGUUAAGUCCCGCAACGAGCGCAACCCU